GUGUAUUUGGUUUCCUUCAAAAUUACUUUGUUUAUCAAUACCUUUUCCAUUGUGCUCUGUAAGAAUGUCCUAAUAAAUCUAAGCUCAUCAGUGACUGACAUUCAACUUACUUUUAAAUAAGAUUUAAUAUUAUACAGUUAUUUUACUUAUAUAUUUUCAAAAACACUAUGCUAUUUGAGAAGGUUCCUCAGAAGUACUCUUGAUAAAUUUACUAUUUAAUUUACAAAACUAUGACACAGGCAUUGCUAAUUUCAGUGUAAAAUUAGUUGAAAAUUUUAUAAAUCUACUAUAUACAUUACUCUUGAG
This 306-nucleotide long non-coding RNA is filed under the name Bos taurus (domestic cattle). Its description in RNAcentral is "long non-coding RNA NONBTAT021767". Lineage: Eukaryota; Metazoa; Chordata; Mammalia; Artiodactyla; Bovidae. The record is from RNAcentral.